GAUGAACGCUGGCGGCGUGCCUAAUACAUGCAAGUCGAGCGAACAGACGAGGAGCUUGCUCCUCUGACGUUAGCGGCGGACGGGUGAGUAACACGUGGAUAGCCUACCUAUAAGACUGGGAUAACUUCGGGAAACCGGAGCUAAUACCGGAUAACAUGUUGAACCGCAUGGUUCAACAGUGAAAGACGGUCUUGCUGUCACUUAUAGAUGGAUCCGCGCCGCAUUAGCUAGUUGGUAAGGUAACGGCUUACCAAGGCAACGAUGCGUAGCCGACCUGAGAGGGUGAUCGGCCACACUGGAACUGAGACACGGUCCAGACUCCUACGGGAGGCAGCAGUAGGGAAUCUUCCGCAAUGGGCGAAAUCCUGACGGAGCAACGCCGCGUGAGUGAAGAAGGUCUUCGGAUCGUAAAACUCUGUUAUUAGGGAAGAACAAAUGUGUAAGUAACUAUGCACGUCUUGACGGUACCUAAUCAGAAAGCCACGGCUAACUACGUG
RNAcentral lists this ribosomal RNA (497 nucleotides) under uncultured bacterium. Its description in RNAcentral is "partial 16S ribosomal RNA". It matches the Rfam family "Bacterial small subunit ribosomal RNA", at positions 28 to 507 of the family's 1533-position model. The record is from RNAcentral.